AUGACCAAAAAAGGCUGGGUUGCGGUGGCUCCUUCCGCUUGCUGCGACAUCUGCCCGGCCUUGGAAACAGUCCACCAUGUUAUGCUAAGAUGUCGGUCUGUCAACGCAAUCUGGGAUAGGUUCAUGUUGUGUACUCUCGCUUGCAACUCUCCGGAUAUCCGAUCUUUCGUCGCUCGGGCAGGUAGCCAGCUUCAUUUCAACAGACAAUGGCACAUUGCUUUUGCGGCGUCUGUUGUUGCUUUGUGGCACGCCAGGAAUGAUCGCACUUUCAAUAACAAAUGCUGGUGUGAGCCUCAGAUCAGAUUCUACGCUGCCAGCUUGAUCCGGCUAUGGGCCAAUAGAGCUUCUAAACAAGCAGUUAAGGCAGACAUGCGGACGUGGGCCAGGAUGCUUGAAGCUUAG
RNAcentral lists this ribosomal RNA (402 nucleotides) under Triticum aestivum (bread wheat). RNAcentral's name for it is "partial small subunit ribosomal RNA". Lineage: Eukaryota; Viridiplantae; Streptophyta; Magnoliopsida; Poales; Poaceae. The record is from RNAcentral.